GACGAACGCUGGCGGCGUGCUUAACACAUGCAAGUCGAACGGAAGGGCCCUGCUUUUGUGGGGUGCUCGAGUGGCGAACGGGUGAGUAACACGUGAGUAACCUGCCCUUGACUUUGGGAUAACUUCAGGAAACUGGGGCUAAUACCGGAUAGGAGCUCCCGCUGCAUGGUGGGGGGUGGAAAGUUUGGGCUGUUGGGGAUGGACUCGCGGCUUAUCAGCUUGUUGGUGGGGUAGUGGCUUACCCAGGCUUUGACGGGUAGCCGGCCUGAGAGGGUGACCGGCCACAUUGGGACUGCGGUACGGCCCAGACGCCUACGUGAGGCAGCAGUGGGGAAUAUUGCCCAAUGGGCGGAAGCCUGAUGCAGCAACGCCGCGUGCGGGAUGACGGCCUUCGGGUUGUAAACCGCUUUCGCCUGUGACGAAGCGUGAGUGACGGUAAUGGGUAAAGAAGCACCAGCUAACUACGUG
RNAcentral lists this ribosomal RNA (468 nucleotides) under uncultured bacterium. RNAcentral describes it as "partial 16S ribosomal RNA". It matches the Rfam family "Bacterial small subunit ribosomal RNA", at positions 28 to 507 of the family's 1533-position model. The record is from RNAcentral.